Molecule: ribosomal RNA, 253 nt
Filed under: uncultured bacterium
Lineage: Bacteria
Description: partial 16S ribosomal RNA
Rfam family: Bacterial small subunit ribosomal RNA
Source: RNAcentral
UACGAACCGUCCAAACGGUAUUCGGAAUCACUGGGCUUAAAGGGUACGUAGGCGGCGCUGUUAGUCGGGUGUGAAAGCCCUCGGCUCAACCGAGGAAUUGCGCCCGAUACUGCAGUGCUUGAGGGAGACAGAGGUAAGCGGAACUGAUGGUGGAGCGGUGAAAUGCGUUGAUAUCAUCAGGAACACCGGUGGCGAAAGCGGCUUACUGGGUCUCUUCUGACGCUGAGGUCCGAAAGCUAGGGGAGCGAAGGGG